UGGUGGUUGUGGUGUUGCUGUUGGUGGCGGUGAUUGCCAGCAACCUGACAAGUUGGCGGUGGCGGUGGUGUGGGCGGCUGGGAAGCUGCGCUCAAUAUUCACGCUGCUCGUUGAGUGUGAGGAGGACGACCAUGUGCUUGCGUCUGCAUGCGAGAUGUUGCAAGUCCUCAGCUCCAGCCAUGCUGGCGCAUUGGCAUUUAGCAACAAUGGAAGCCUCGCGGCCUUAGCCAGCCUGCUGGGACGCACUCACAACCCUCACACCCUGGAGAAGAUCACCGGCACGCUGUGGAACCUGUCGCGCCAUGAGUUUCUGAGGGCUGCGCUGGUGGAGCUUUGCCUCCCGGCGCUGGUGGAGCACGUGCUGGUGCCA
Molecule: long non-coding RNA, 370 nt
Organism: Lethenteron reissneri (Far Eastern brook lamprey)
Lineage: Eukaryota; Metazoa; Chordata; Hyperoartia; Petromyzontiformes; Petromyzontidae
Source: RefSeq, a predicted model, not a curated record